Mauremys reevesii (Reeves's turtle) is the source of this 650-nucleotide long non-coding RNA. RefSeq lists it as uncharacterized. The transcript is spliced from 3 exons. The record is from RefSeq and is a predicted model, not a curated record. Lineage: Eukaryota; Metazoa; Chordata; Testudines; Geoemydidae.
AUUGUUUUUCAUUACAUAUAUCCUGGAGCUGUGAGCAUCCCUCAUGGUUAGAUCAAGGGGAACAGAGAUAUACAUGACCAUGUAGCAUUUUUAGAAGUGUUAAACCAGCUCCAGUACCUGUUGUGUGGAGAGAAAUCCACUCCAUGACUGCAUGAUGGAUCUGCUAACCACGGGACUACAAUUCCCAUCAGCUCCCUCUCUACUACACUUCCCUUUCUCCUGGCCAGGUCCCCACAUCUAUACGCUAAGGUCCAGAGUGGGGGUGAAACCUAUGACAGUCCUGAAACAGAAAGUUGCCUAUCUCUGUUGUGAAGGAGCAACCACAUAGCAAGCCAGGAGCUGCAGGAAAGCUUGAUGCAGAAAGGAACCGCCCACGUAGACCAAUAUGUGGAACAGGCGAUGACUGCCAAACAAUACAGCAUGGUGCAGGUCUGUGUGGUACAUAUGAGGGAGCAGCAGCAGAAGCUGUGCAGGGAGCCCAUGCAGAAGAACUCCAAUGAAAGACAUGCCGUUAAUAAUCCUAGAACAGAAACCUGCAAGCUUCUAUUUGCUUGAAUAGAGAAUGGAUUGGAGAGGGCAUCCAAGGCACUAGGCCUGAAGAGCACUGACUCUCAGUUGGAUUGCCUCUGGGGCCCAAACAAGAACUGCUG